RNAcentral lists this ribosomal RNA (253 nucleotides) under uncultured bacterium. RNAcentral's name for it is "partial 16S ribosomal RNA". It matches the Rfam family "Bacterial small subunit ribosomal RNA", at positions 524 to 776 of the family's 1533-position model. The record is from RNAcentral.
UACAGAGGGGGCAAGCGUUAUUCCGAAUUAUUGGGCGUAAAGGGCGCGUAGGCGGCUUGGCAAGUGGAUGGUGAAAUCCCUCGGCUUAACCGAGGAACUGCCGUCCAAACUGCUUAGCUUGAGACCGGGAGAGGUGAGUGGAAUUCCCAGUGUAGCGGUGAAAUGCGUAGAUAUUGGGAGGAACACCAGUGGCGAAGGCGGCUCACUGGACCGGUACUGACGCUGAGGCGCGAAAGCGUGGGGAGCAAACGGG